Molecule: ribosomal RNA, 314 nt
Filed under: uncultured Helotiales
Lineage: Eukaryota; Fungi; Ascomycota; Leotiomycetes; Helotiales
Description: partial large subunit ribosomal RNA
Rfam family: Eukaryotic large subunit ribosomal RNA
Source: RNAcentral
AUAUUACUAAGCGGAGGAAAGGAAAUCAACGAAGAUUGCCUCAGUAGCGGCGAGUGAAGCGGCAAUAGCUCAAAUUUGAAAUCUAGCUCUUUCAGGGUCCGAGUUGUAAUUUGUAGAAGAUGCUUUGGGUGUAGCUCCGGUCUAAGUUCCUUGGAACAGGACGUCAUAGAGGGUGAGAAUCCCGUAUGUGACUGGUGGCUUUCGCCCGUGUAAAGCUCUUUCGACGAGUCGAGUUGUUUGGGAAUGCAGCUCAAAAUGGGUGGUAUAUUUCAUCUAAAGCUAAAUAUUGGCCAGAGACCGAUAGCGCACAAGUA